RNAcentral lists this ribosomal RNA (625 nucleotides) under Escherichia coli. Its description in RNAcentral is "partial 23S ribosomal RNA". It matches the Rfam family "Bacterial large subunit ribosomal RNA", at positions 1 to 669 of the family's 2925-position model. The record is from RNAcentral. Lineage: Bacteria; Pseudomonadati; Pseudomonadota; Gammaproteobacteria; Enterobacterales; Enterobacteriaceae.
GUUAAGCGACUAAGCGUACACGGUGGAUGCCCUGGCAGUCAGAGGCGAUGAAGGACGUGCUAAUCUGCGAUAAGCGUCGGUAAGGUGAUAUGAACCGUUAUAACCGGCGAUUUCCGAAUGGGGAAACCCAGUGUGUUUCGACACACUAUCAUUAACUGAAUCCAUAGGUUAAUGAGGCGAACCGGGGGAACUGAAACAUCUAAGUACCCCGAGGAAAAGAAAUCAACCGAGAUUCCCCCAGUAGCGGCGAGCGAACGGGGAGCAGCCCAGAGCCUGAAUCAGUGUGUGUGUUAGUGGAAGCGUCUGGAAAGGCGCGCGAUACAGGGUGACAGCCCCGUACACAAAAAUGCACAUGCUGUGAGCUCGAUGAGUAGGGCGGGACACGUGGUAUCCUGUCUGAAUAUGGGGGGACCAUCCUCCAAGGCUAAAUACUCCUGACUGACCGAUAGUGAACCAGUACCGUGAGGGAAAGGCGAAAAGAACCCCGGCGAGGGGAGUGAAAAAGAACCUGAAACCGUGUACGUACAAGCAGUGGGAGCACGCUUAGGCGUGUGACUGCGUACCUUUUGUAUAAUGGGUCAGCGACUUAUAUUCUGUAGCAAGGUUAACCGAAUAGGGGAGCCGA